AGAGUUUGAUCAUGGCUCAGGAUUAACGCUGGCGGUAUGCCUAACACAUGCAAGUCGAACGGAAUACUAAUUAAGAGAAUCUCACACUAGUGAGAGGUUCUCACGAGUAGUAUUUAGUGGCGGACGGGUGAGUAACACGUUGGAACCUGCCCCGAAGUGGGGAAUAACUGCUCGAAAGAGUAGCUAAUACCCCAUAGUAUCCGGUUUAUCCGGAUUAAAGAUUUAUCGCUUCGGGAGGGGCCUGCGUCUGAUUAGCUUGUUGGUGAGGUAAAAGCUCACCAAGGCGACGAUCAGUAGCUGGUUCGAGAGGAUAACCAGCCACACUGGGACUGAGAUACGGCCCAGACUCCUACGGGAGGCAGCAGUGAGGAAUCUUCCACAAUGGACGAAAGUCUGAUGGAGCAAUACCGCGUGCAGGAAGACGCUUUUCGGAGUGUAAACUGCUUUUGUCGUCGAAGAUUAUGACUGUAGACGAAGAAUAAGGACCGGCUAACUACGUG
RNAcentral lists this ribosomal RNA (500 nucleotides) under uncultured bacterium. Its description in RNAcentral is "bacterial SSU rRNA". It matches the Rfam family "Bacterial small subunit ribosomal RNA", at positions 8 to 507 of the family's 1533-position model. The record is from RNAcentral.